UACGUAGGGUGCGAGCGUUGUCCGGAAUUAUUGGGCGUAAAGAGCUCGUAGGCGGUCUGUCGCGUCGAUCGUGAAAACUUGGGGCUUAACCCUGAGCUUGCGGUCGAUACGGGCAUGACUGGAGUUCGGCAGGGGAGACUGGAAUUCCUGGUGUAGCGGUGAAAUGCGCAGAUAUCAGGAGGAACACCGGUGGCGAAGGCGGGUCUCUAGUACGGUACUGACGCUGAGACGCGAAAGCGUGGGGAGCGAACAGG
Molecule: ribosomal RNA, 254 nt
Filed under: uncultured bacterium
Lineage: Bacteria
Description: partial 16S ribosomal RNA
Rfam family: Bacterial small subunit ribosomal RNA
Source: RNAcentral